This 1132-nucleotide long non-coding RNA is filed under the name Homo sapiens (human). The record is from RNAcentral. Lineage: Eukaryota; Metazoa; Chordata; Mammalia; Primates; Hominidae.
AAAUAAUUUGUGGGAAAAAUACAAACUGUAAUGCCUUUUAGUUCACAUGACUAGUAAGCUGUGGGACAUAAAGACAUUUUUAAAGAUGAUUGGUUGUGCUCACUUUGGUAGCACAUAUAUUAAAAUUAGAAUGAUACAGAGAAAAUUAGCAUGGCCCCUGUGAAAAGAUGACAUGCAAAUUCAUGAAGCAUUCUAUAUUUUUUAGAAACAUGCCUGUUCUCACUGGUAAUUAGAGCGAAACAAACUUAAAAUGAGGUUUUUCUCCUCAUUAAACUGGCAAAAAUCUAAUAAAUUGCUAAUAUUCAUUGUUGGUUACGAUGUGGAGAAAUAAGCACUUUCAAAUACUGCUGGUAUAAAAGGCAAUUUGACAAUAACUACCAACUUUUAAAAUAUGAAUACUAUGAAUACCUACAAUUCCACUUCUAGGAACCUGUCUCAAAAUCAUCACAUAAUAUAUCCAGGAGAAAUUUCUAACAUUUCUGAUAGUAGAUAUAGAUUACCAUAUUUCUCAGCAUAAAUGUAGACUUCUUCUAUUUUGCUUAAAUAGAACAUAAUUUAAUAAUACUCCCUUAGAAUUCUGAGAGAAAGCUGUUAGAUUCAGACUAAAAAGUAAUAGUGUUUUUAACUUAUUACAGAUAGGUACAGAGCAGAGGUACUAUAUAAAGUACUUUACAGGAAAAAGUUUAUUUAAUCUUCGCAAUAAAAUGGUGAGCAAUUGGAGGCAAGGAAGAGUUAGAAGGAGUGCCAAGGUAAAUUGGUAAGUGGCUAAGUUGAUGUUCAUUCUUAAUAUUGGGGUUCACUGUGAGGUAGGAGUUCAGCAGGACUUGUUUCUCAAGACAUAGGUAACAGAGACCCCACUGAUAAAACAGGAUGUGGCAAAGAAGCCUGCUGAAGCCAGCCACAAUCAAGAAGACAACACUCAUUAUAAUUCACCAGCACCAUGACAAUUUACAGAUGCCAUGGAAACUCCUGGAAGUUACCCCAUAUUGUCUAAAAAGAGAAGAAAUUCUCAGUUCCAGGAAUUCCCAGCCCCUCUCCUGGAAAACUCCUGAAUAAUCUACCCCUUAUUUGGCAUUUAAUCAAGAAAUAAUCACUAAAAUAUCCAAGCCACAGUCCUUGGGGCUGAACUCGC